This 194-nucleotide ribosomal RNA is filed under the name uncultured bacterium. RNAcentral describes it as "partial 16S ribosomal RNA". It matches the Rfam family "Bacterial small subunit ribosomal RNA", at positions 338 to 524 of the family's 1533-position model. The record is from RNAcentral.
CCUACGGGAGGCAGCAGUGGGGAAUAUUGCACAAUGGGCGCAAGCCUGAUGCAGCCGUGCCGCGUGUAUGAAGAAGGCCUUCGGGUUGUAAAGUGCUUUCAGCGGGGAGGAAGGGAGAGAGGUUAAUAACCUCGCUCAUUGACGUUACCCGCAGAAGAAGCACCGGCUAACUCCGUGCCAGCAGCCGCGGUAAU